UAAAUUAAUCGGCUUAUCAGACACGUAC
This 28-nucleotide small RNA is filed under the name Bombyx mori (domestic silkworm). Its description in RNAcentral is "ovarian small RNA-18501". Lineage: Eukaryota; Metazoa; Arthropoda; Insecta; Lepidoptera; Bombycidae. The record is from RNAcentral.